RNAcentral lists this ribosomal RNA (501 nucleotides) under uncultured bacterium. RNAcentral's name for it is "bacterial SSU rRNA". It matches the Rfam family "Bacterial small subunit ribosomal RNA", at positions 24 to 518 of the family's 1533-position model. The record is from RNAcentral.
UCAGGAUGAACGCUAGCGACAGGCCUAACACAUGCAAGUCGAGGGCGAGCACAAGGAGCAAUCUGAGGUGGCGACCGGCGCACGGGUGAGUAACACGUAUGCAACCUGCCUGUAAGCGGGGAAUAACCCGUUGAAAGACGGACUAAUACCGCAUAAUACUAAAUUACUGCAUGGUAAUUUAUUUAAACAUUUAUGGCUUACAGAUGGGCAUGCGCAUGAUUAGCUAGUUGGAGAGGUAACGGCUCCCCAAGGCAACGAUCAUUAGGGGUUCUGAGAGGAAGGUCCCCCCACACUGGUACUGAGACACGGACCAGACUCCUACGGGAGGCAGCAGUGAGGAAUAUUGGUCAAUGGACGAGAGUCUGAACCAGCCAAGUCGCGUGCAGGAAGAAUUGUCCUAUGGAUUGUAAACUGCUUUUGCAGGGGAAUAAAGUGCAUCACGUGUGAUGUUUUGUAUGUACUCUGCGAAUAAGGAUCGGCUAACUCCGUGCCAGCCGCCGC